This 916-nucleotide ribosomal RNA is filed under the name uncultured archaeon. RNAcentral describes it as "bacterial SSU rRNA". It matches the Rfam family "Archaeal small subunit ribosomal RNA", at positions 1 to 922 of the family's 1478-position model. The record is from RNAcentral.
UUCCGGUUGAUCCCGCCAGAGGCUACUGCUAUCGGGGUCCGACUAAGCCAUGCGAGUUGAGAGGGGUAAGCCCUCGGCAUAUUGCUCAGUAACACGCGGAUAACCUGCCCUUGGGUUUGGGAUAACCCCGGGAAACUGGGACUAAUACCGGAUAGAUCAAAGAAACUGGAAUGUUCUCUGAUCGAAAGCUCCGGCGCCCAAGGAUGGGUCUGCGGCCUAUCAGGUAGUAGUGGGUGUAACGUACCUACUAGCCUACGACGGGUAAGGGUUGUGAGAGCAAGAGCCCUGAGAUGGAUUCUGAGACAUGAAUCCAGGCCCUACGGGGUGCAGCAGGCGCGAAAACUUUACACUGCGGGAAACCGCGAUAAGGGGACCCCGAGUGCCAGCACCUAGUGCUGGCUGUCCAGCUGUUCAAAUAACAGUUGUUAGCAAGGGCCGGGCAAGACCGGUGCCAGCCGCCGCGGUAACACCGGCGGCCCGAGUGGUAGCCGUUAUUAUUGGGUUUAAAGGGUCCGUAGCCGGCCUAUUAAGUCUCUUGGGAAAUCUGGCGACUCAAUCGUCAGGCGUUCAAGAGAUACUGGUAGGCUUGGGACCGGGAGAGGUGGGAGGUACUCCAGGGGUAGGGGUGAAAUCUCGUAAUCCUUGGGGGACCACCGAUGGCGAAGGCAUCCCACCAGAACGGGUCCGACGGUGAGGGACGAAAGCUGGGGGCACGAACCGGAUUAGAUACCCGGGUAGUCCCAGCCGUAAACGAUGCUCGCUAGGUGUCAGGUGCGGUGCGACCGCAUCUGGUGCCGCAGUGAAAACUUGAAGCGAGUCACCUGGGAAGUACGGUCGCAAGGCUGAAACUUAAAGGAAUUGGCGGGGGAGCACUACAACGGGUGGAGCCUGCGGUUCAAUUGGAUUCAACGCCGGA